GCAAAGACACGACUCUGCUUUCUAAAAUAGAAAGCAUUGUGGCAGAUCUAAUGAAAUGUGAGGCUUCGCCAGUUGUCGUUGCAGUUUCCCUCGUUGCAAUAGCAGCAGUUCUCUGUUUCGUCGGCAGUCUUUUUACCCGAGAGAGGGGGGCGACUCCAGAGGUGAAAAUUGUGCUGCCGAGCUAUUCAGGAGAAGGGAAGAUCACAGCAGAAACGGAUAUGAUGCUGAAGCAAGUUAUUGAAGAACUAAAAAAGGAAGUGGAAAGAAGGGUUCGAUCAGAAAUUCAAGCAAAGAAAGAUACAAGCGAAGCUACAGAAGUGGAAAGAAGGGUUCGAUCAGAAAUUCAAGCAAAGAAAGAUACAAGCGAAGCUACAGAAGUGGAAAGAAGGGUUCGAUCAGAAAUUCAAGCAAAGAAAGAUACAAGCGAAGCUACAGAAGUGGAAAGAAGGGUUCGAUCAGAAAUUCAAGCAAAGAAAGAUACAAGCGAAGCUACAGAAGUGGAAAGAAGGGUUCGAUCAGAAAUUCAAGCAAAGAAAAAUACAAGAAAAGCUACAAAAGGUUGUGUUGUGUCUAUAGUCAGGUUAUUUAUGAUAUGGCCAAUGAUUCUUUUUCUUUUUCUUUCAGGUUGCAAUUUUUUGAUGUUUAAUAGUUAGUUGAGGACAUUCCACCAUUUACAGACAUAUAGCCCUGUUAUUACAGAGAGAGUAAGAGAGAAAUCAGCAGUAAAUGAUCAGUAUGGAUAAGAGCCCUUCCUUUCUCAACAUCCUUUUUCCUUUUUUUUUUAAACAAAAUGUAUUCAGUAGAAUUUCCCAUAACUAUUUUAGAAUCCUAAAAAGGGAUGUAUUUAAACCCAUGUGUGCAUUAAUGUGUUGGGAGACAAUCCAGUAAGUUAUCUACAUUUAAGUUAUUAAGGUUCAAUUUAUUUGUUAAGUCCAAAAAUGUGGAAACCCAUUUUGACCAUAACUUAGUAAAUGUAUUAAUUUGUAGGCAAAAUGAAAAUCAAAUUCUUUACAUUGUGUAUACUUCAUUAACUAUCUCUGUCCAUUCCUCUAUUGUGGGAGAGUCAGGAAGCAACCAUUGCCAAGUAAUAGUUUUUUUAACCGGUUGAUGUAAGUACACCAAACAAGUAUUCAUUGAAGUGGGCUGAAUGAAAUUUCAUGCAUUUCUGUCUAGAAAUGUCUUAUUACUGGAUGUUCCCAAAUGAUAUGGCAGUGAUUGGCUUCAUGGCUCCCACAUAGUCUCCAGCACUUGGGAUCCUCUCCUGUUCAGUGUGCUUUCUGCUUUGGGCUAAAAAAAACAGACAUUUUUUUAGACACUUUCAUCUAAAUUCUCUCCAUGUGUGUGAAAGAUAGAUAGAUAGAUAGAUCCUUUAUUUAUCUCCUCGGG
Seriola dumerili (greater amberjack) is the source of this 1386-nucleotide long non-coding RNA. RefSeq lists it as uncharacterized. The transcript is spliced from 3 exons. Lineage: Eukaryota; Metazoa; Chordata; Actinopteri; Carangiformes; Carangidae. The record is from RefSeq and is a predicted model, not a curated record.